RNAcentral lists this ribosomal RNA (497 nucleotides) under uncultured bacterium. RNAcentral describes it as "partial 16S ribosomal RNA". It matches the Rfam family "Bacterial small subunit ribosomal RNA", at positions 28 to 507 of the family's 1533-position model. The record is from RNAcentral.
GAUGAACGCUGGCGGCGUGCCUAAUACAUGCAAGUCGAGCGAACAGAUGAGGAGCUUGCUCCUCUGACGUUAGCGGCGGACGGGUGAGUAACACGUGGAUAACCUACCUAUAAGACUGGGAUAACUUCGGGAAACCGGAGCUAAUACCGGAUAAUAUAUUGAACCGCAUGGUUCAAUAGUGAAAGACGGUUUUGCUGUCACUUAUAGAUGGAUCCGCGCCGCAUUAGCUAGUUGGUAAGGUAACGGCUUACCAAGGCAACGAUGCGUAGCCGACCUGAGAGGGUGAUCGGCCACACUGGAACUGAGACACGGUCCAGACUCCUACGGGAGGCAGCAGUAGGGAAUCUUCCGCAAUGAGCGAAAGCCUGACGGAGCAACGCCGCGUGAGUGAUGAAGGUCUUCGGAUCGUAAAACUCUGUUAUUAGGGAAGAACAAAUGUGUAAGUAACUAUGCACGUCUUGACGGUACCUAAUCAGAAAGCCACGGCUAACUACGCG